This is a non-coding RNA of Sturnus vulgaris (Common starling), 855 nucleotides long. NCBI's taxonomy places the organism in Eukaryota, Metazoa, Chordata, Aves, Passeriformes, Sturnidae. The record is from RefSeq and is a predicted model, not a curated record.
GCCUUUGCCUGCCAGGAGCAUCCCCUGGGAAGGCAAAUGGAAUCGAAGGUCCCAAGUGCCCUGUGGGACCCUAGUGAGAAGCAGUGGUCUUCCAUGCUGUGGGGAUGGCUGUCCCAUUAGCCACCCCACUCUCACAGGCGGCCCAGAGGCUUUGGUCCUCUGGCUGCUUGUGCACAGCAGACACUGCACGUCUGUGGUAGCACCAGAACAACCCUGACACAGCCCAGAAAUAUCACCUGAUGGAAAUGAGGAACUGGGAUUUUGUUGCAAGCUCUGGUUACAGGAAACCAAAACCAAAAAGCUACUGUGUAUCCGUGUGUUGCUCCCUCCCAGACGCACGAGGGUGCUUUGAACAAAGGACAUGUAGAGACAUGCAGAGACUGCUGUGACUCCAUCUCCCCCUGAGAAUUCUUCCACUCAGGUCUUGCCAGAGGAUGCCAACCCAUCCUUGCAAGGUUUGAGGAGCUCUGCAGAAGGAUCUUCAUGGGCUGUACUGAGUCCUGGGCUCCUCUGCACCAGGAAGGGCCCCACAGAACUCCUUGGGGACCUCAUGAGUCACUGAGAAAGUCCCCAGGUGCUGAGGCCAAAGGCCUCAAAAUUCACCUGUGGAGAAACAAGCAAAGGAGAGAGGUGAAAAGAAAAAAGCAAUUUGAAGAUGAGAGAUGAAUCUGCUCUGGUGUAAGUUUGGAGAAGUCAUCACCAAAUUUGAUGUGGGAUUGCUGUCCUCUCCUUCCCUCCAGGGAGCACUGUGGCAUCUCCUUUCCCCUAGAUUUUGGAGAGAACGGAUUUGUGUUUCUUACCCAGAAACAGAAAUAAAGCUCCAACAACCUGCUUGUGCAGAUCUCUUGUUCCCUG